AGGAGUUCGGGUUCUGCACCUAAAACUCCUGUUUCCUCUCCUAGAAGAGGCCUAGCAGUCCCGCGUCGGGAGCGGCUGGGCGGUGACAGGCGCGCGCAGACAGGACAGCGCGAGCUGGCCGUGACGGGGUUACAGCCCUGAGCUUCACUGUGAGCGUGAGUGUGCACCCCAUGUAAAAACCAUUUACAAGUCCUGGCUGCCUGACGCCAGGCUCAGUACUCUUCUAAAUUUAAUACCCAAGUACCCUGUAAUUCCAGGUACUCUGGAGGUGGAGGCAGGAGGAAUGCAGGUUCGAGCCCCGCCUUGGCAGUUUAGGAGACACUCUAAAUAAAAAAGGAAAAGGCUGGGGUGUAGCUCGGUGGAAGGAGUGCCCCAAGUCUAUCUGCGGCGCCAAACAAGUACAAACAAGCAAACGAAAAUCCCACUCGCCCCAAGACUCUAUUUGCACAUUAAGAAAUCACAGCCAGAAAAAUGGAAAAUCCCAAGGGCCUUCUGGAAAAUGGCCUGCCCCAGGGAGGGCUAAGGGAUGCCCUGACCCCAGCAGCAGCCCGGAAGUCUGCAGCCUGAGACAUCCCUUCCCCUCCCAAUUGUGCCCAGGUUUCCAGGACCUAAUGGGCCACCUCCCCGGGGAUGUCCUCUGGGCGUGCACCACCCUUCCCAUGGCCACAGGCUGCUCCUGUGGGCACCAGCCACUCUAGCUCACCCCUCAGGAACUCGAAACGGGACUGACCAUGGCAGCUCCAGGACGGAGGAAACAGGGAAGGACUGAGCUCCUACAAGCGGGCAUAGAAGCUCUAGUGAGUCCUGAAGCAGUGACACACUGUUCUGCCUGGGUCCAGAGGCUUACAGGGCUCCCCCGGCUCAGGGCAGCAGGCUGACACCAGGCAGUGGUCUGGAGCUGUGCAAAUUUGUUAGCUGUCCCAACUCAGAGCCCAUGGGGUCAGUCACGACUGCAACUCCGGGAGACACCCAAGAUUUUCAAGUUUCCAGCUGCGUCCCUUGGGCAGCCAGGAGGGUAAACAACCAUCCCUUUCAUCUCCUACACUGACGCUGGGACACUGUGUGUGUACCACCAGACAGCCACUUCAACCCCUAACAGAUAACUUGUGAGUGCACUCCCCACACUGACCUCUGGGCUGGAGACUCUGUGAGCUGGCAACUGUCACCCCUAAAGGAGCCCCUGCUGCAGCUUGCACACAGACACACCGGACUCAUUCUCCUAUUUCAGCGUAAGGUAACACGGCACCACUGUUGCCCACUGAAGAUAUGACCCCGACUUAUGUCUUGAACAAAAACUCCAAAAACAGCAGGAGCGCCUUUAGGCACUAGACACCUUCUGGAGAAUCCCCUGUGUCACAGCACUGCCUUCUGCUGCUUAGAAUGCAGGAGACGACUGUCUGCACCUGCCCCAGGCUCAGUUCCUGAGACCCUCUGUGCAGGGAGAAUUCUCUAACAAUGCACAUGACACAAAAUCACCCUGACUGCGGACCACGGCCCAUGUUUUAAGCACUCCCCACAGGUCACAAGGUUGGAGAAUAAUCUGAAGGAUUGUUCAUCACACACACAAACACUAGGCUUGAGGGCUUGGAAGGAAAAGCAUUUCUGUGGUUUAUUUCCUGGUACCCCAAAACCAGUGCUGGAAACUUACACUCAUACCCUAAACCACGGAGUGGGGAAGAACAUGUGGACAUGCAGAGCUGUUUUUUCUACUCAGCCUCAGGGCAGCAGAGUUGACCAGAAGGUGUGAAGGAGAAGAACAGAGGGAGGUGGCUGGUGUUCAUCAGACUCUGGAAAGUCUCUGAGAGGGGCCCAGCACCCUUACUCUCCACCACUGUCAAACAAGACAAACCCUGCCUUCCUCCCAGGGGAAGAGGUCUGUAAGGAAUUCUGGAGGAGAGAAACAGCACACAGCAUCUCUGCGUGUCCAGCGUGGCUUGAAGUGAGCGUCAGCCCUGCAGCAUUCCUGCCUGGGCCUCACAAAGACCAGCACUUCUCAGCUGGUCAGCUAAGCAGCCAAGACCCUGUCAGAGCCCUCACGAUGGAACCCUGGAAGGCCACGUGUGACCUGUGGGCCAGCGCAGACCCAUGAACCUCCAGAGACAGUGGUGGCCUUGAUCACCUGUCUCCUUCUUCACCUCACCUGCCCCAAAGGCAUCCACCCAGAACAAAAAGAGGGAGAGAACUCUGAAUGAAACUGUCUUGAGCCAGUGAAAACAAAACCGCCUCUGACUCCAGGAUUUGUUCUUCAUAUGCAAACAGGAAUUCACACGCAAAGGCCAAUUCAGUCGUAGAGAAAUAGAGUAUUACAUUUUUGCACACAGGGCCUCUGUGGUUCUGAAUUUUCUAUACCUAUUGAUGUUAUUUUUGGAGCUUCCAGUAAUCUCUCACGGAACCACAGCAUAGAUUUGAAACCGCUGUCCCAGAUGGACUUCCUCCUGCAGCCCGGCUUUUCUGUUUCCCCUGCACAUUUUCCAUCCAUUGAUCUCCAAACAACCUCUCUCUUACCUGUGUCUUUCACGAGUCUCCCUCCCUGCAACCGCUAGAUUUUGAUCAGCUCAACCUUGACUCUGAACAGUCAUUCGUGGGUUUCUAUGAUCAGCAUUCUGUUCUGAUUUCUCUGAUUCUGUAGGUCCUUUACCAAGCAGAAAGCCACAAGUGAACUAGGGAUUAGCCCUGAUCAGAAAGUAACUCACAUCAUGAGACUAACAAGGCAGUGAACCACUUCUUAAGCACCUUUGUAAGAGGAAGAAAAAAGAUGGACAGACCAUCUUUUUGGGUUUUUUGUCUGUUUGUUUGUUCUACUGCAGUUUUAACCUUGCUCAGUGAGGACAAAUGACCAAGAGAGGCCUUGUUAGCAUCACAAGUUAAUACAGAAACCGCGUGGCGGGUUCCAUCCCGAGGCAGACAGACUUGGUAACUUCCCAGCCCUGCUACCCCUAACAGAACCGGAUGAGUGGCCUCUCGCUCACACAGACACAGUCUGACUUCUGUUGGCUGAUGGCUUUAACAUAAAAAGCUUAAAGCACCAGUAACCAAACUGUCACCAGCCAACAGGCAGCCCAUCCAGGAAGCGCCAGAGGGAUGUGUGUGCUCAGCCAUGUGGCAGAUGUGUGACAAAGCACACCCCUCUGUGCACUCUCUAGAUUCUAGAUGGUUCUAGAUGUUUCCACCAUCUUGGCUUCCCUGCUCCUUUCUGUAACUGGUCUCUACAUUUUGUCUUCCACAAGCACCUUCCCAAAUCUAGACUUUCGUGUUGGAGUCUUUCAACUUUGUGAUUUCUUGCCAGUUUCUUCUCUCUAGGUGGUUUCCCUAUUCUAGAGAAGGACGGUCCCUUUGUAAUUUAGAGCAGCCAUAUUGAAUGUCUUCUCAUCCAAUGUAUGACUGAGGUGUAAUUUCCUCCUGCCUUGAAUCUAGGCUGAUCUCUGUUUAAUCAAUAAAAGAAAGUGGUACUGGC
Cavia porcellus (domestic guinea pig) is the source of this 3454-nucleotide long non-coding RNA. RefSeq lists it as uncharacterized. The record is from RefSeq and is a predicted model, not a curated record. NCBI's taxonomy places the organism in Eukaryota, Metazoa, Chordata, Mammalia, Rodentia, Caviidae. The transcript has 2 exons.